Molecule: ribosomal RNA, 253 nt
Filed under: uncultured bacterium
Lineage: Bacteria
Description: partial 16S ribosomal RNA
Rfam family: Bacterial small subunit ribosomal RNA
Source: RNAcentral
UACAGAGGGGGCAAGCGUUAUUCGGAAUUAUCGGGCGUAAAGGGCGCGUAGGCGGCUUGGCAAGUGGAAGGUGAAAUCCCUCGGCUUAACCGAGGAACUGCCCUCCAAACUGCUUCGCUUGAGACCGGGAGAGGUGAGUGGAAUUCCCAGUGUAGCGGUGAAAUGCGUAGAUAUUGGGAGGAACACCAGUGGCGAAGGCGGCUCACUGGACCGGUACUGACGCUGAUGCGCGAAAGCGUGGGGAGCAAACGGG